RNAcentral lists this ribosomal RNA (253 nucleotides) under uncultured bacterium. Its description in RNAcentral is "partial 16S ribosomal RNA". It matches the Rfam family "Bacterial small subunit ribosomal RNA", at positions 524 to 776 of the family's 1533-position model. The record is from RNAcentral.
GACGAACCGUCCAAACGUUAUUCGGUAUCACUGGGCUUAAAGCGUGCGUAGGCGGCCUGGUAGGUGAGGUGUGAAAUCCCACGGCUCAACCGUGGAAUUGCGCUUCAAACCACCAGGCUCGAGGAAGGUAGGGGUGAUGGGAACUUAUGGUGGAGCGGUGAAAUGCGUUGAUAUCAUAGGGAACACCGGUGGCGAAAGCGCAUCACUGGAUCUUUACUGACGCUGAGGCACGAAAGCUAGGGUAGCGAACGGG